UUCUGGCUCAGGAUGAGCGCUAGCUACAGGCUUAACACAUGCAAGUCGAGGGGCAGCAUUGGAGUAGCAAUACUCAGAUGGCGACCGGCGCACGGGUGAGUAACACGUAUCCAACCUGCCGCUUACUCGGGGAUAGCCUUUCGAAAGAAAGAUUAAUACCCGAUGGUAUAAAGAGUUCGCAUGUUCUCUUUAUUAAAGAAUUUCGGUAAGCGAUGGGGAUGCGUUCCAUUAGAUAGUUGGCGGGGUAACGGCCCACCAAGUCUACGAUGGAUAGGGGUUCUGAGAGGAAGGUCCCCCACAUUGGAACUGAGACACGGUCCAAACUCCUACGGGAGGCAGCAGUGAGGAAUAUUGGUCAAUGGACGAGAGUCUGAACCAGCCAAAAGUAGCGUGAAGGAUGACUGCCCUAUGGGUUGUAAACUUCUUUUAUAAGGGAAUAAAGUGAGGGACGUGUCCCUUUUUGUAUGUACCUUAUGAAUAAGGAUCGGCUAACUCCGUGCCAGCCGCGGC
RNAcentral lists this ribosomal RNA (510 nucleotides) under uncultured bacterium. RNAcentral describes it as "bacterial SSU rRNA". It matches the Rfam family "Bacterial small subunit ribosomal RNA", at positions 17 to 518 of the family's 1533-position model. The record is from RNAcentral.